Molecule: long non-coding RNA, 639 nt
Organism: Planococcus citri (citrus mealybug)
Lineage: Eukaryota; Metazoa; Arthropoda; Insecta; Hemiptera; Pseudococcidae
Exons: 2
Source: RefSeq, a predicted model, not a curated record
CUUAUUCGAGAAUUAAACCAGCACGCGAUUCGAAUUCCUGUAAUCUUGGAUUUUGACAACGUCACAAUUUUUUUUAUUUUUUUCAAUCAGAAAAAAUAUGGAAAAUUUCAGAGAUAGGUAAUUGAAAAUGCUUCCCUACGCGAUGUUUGAUAAUCGGAACCAACCAAUUGUGUGUCUGAGGGCAUCGAGCGUGUCACUUGUAAUGAAAUUUUUGAUUAUUCGGGUAAUCGAAUUACGAAUCCUUCGUGAAACGUGAUUGAAUUAGAGAAUAUUCAGUUUACAAAACAACAAGAGUCGAUAGGAGAGGCAAAGGCACGUAGGAUUAAACGACUGUCGGAAAUGAGGCUCGUAAAAUGGCUCGUUGACAAGAAACGGAAAAUAUGCGGCAUAUCGUAAUGAAAAAUAUCCAACUUGAUCGCGGUAUCAUACUACACAGAGACAAUCAUUACACACGCAAUAUUCUAACUUCUAGUUCGGUAGUUAUCAUUACCUACGUAUAGUCUACCCAUUACGGUUACAUGUUCUUUACAAGAUAAGAUACCUUUUUGACAUGCAAUCGUAACCGCAAUCAGAUUUAAAAUCAUAUUUUCUAUAUUUUGUAUAAUAAUAAUCGAAAAAUAAACGAUUGGAAAAAUUGUA